GACCAGAAAGUCACGGCUAAUUACGUGCCAGCAGCCGCGGUAAUACGUAGGUGGCAAGCGUUGUCCGGAUUUAUUGGGCGUAAAGGGAACGCAGGCGGUCUUUUAAGUCUGAUGUGAAAGCCUUCGGCUUAACCGAAGUCGGGCAUUGGAAACUGGGAGACUUGAGUGCAGAAGAGGAGAGUGGAACUCCAUGUGUAGCGGUGAAAUGCGUAGAUAUAUGGAAGAACACCAGUGGCGAAAGCGGCUGUCUGGUCUGCAACUGACGCUGAGGCUCGAAAGCAUGGGUAGCGAACAGGAUUAGAUACCCUGGUAGUCCAUGCCGUAAACGAUGAGUGCUAAGUGUUGGAGGGUUUCCGCCCUUCAGUGCUGCAGCUAACGCAUUAAGCACUCCGCCUGGGGAGUACGACCGCAAGGUUGAAACUCAAAGGAAUUGACGGGGGCCCGCACAAGCGGUGGAGCAUGUGGUUUAAUUCGAUGCUACGCGAAGAACCUUACCAGGUCUUGACAUCUUCUGCUAACCUAAGAGAUUAGGCGUUCCCUUCGGGGACGGAAUGACAGGUGGUGCAUGGUUGUCGUCAGCUCGUGUCGUGAGAUGUUGGGUUAAGUCCCGCAACGAGCGCAACCCUUAUUGUCAGUUGCCAGCAUUUAGUUGGGCACUCUGGCGAGACUGCCGGUGACAAACCGGAGGAAGGUGGGGAUGACGUCAAAUCAUCAUGCCCCUUAUGACCUGGGCUACACACGUGCUACAAUGGACGGUACAACGAGUCGCGAAACCGCGAGGUCAAGCUAAUCUCUGAAAGCCGUUCUCAGUUCGGAUUGCAGGCUGCAACUCGCCUGCAUGAAGUUGGAAUCGCUAGUAAUCGUGGAUCAGCAUGCCACGGUGAAUACGUUCCCGGGCCUUGUACACACCGCCCGUCACACCAUGAGAGUUUGUAACACCCAAAGCCGGUGAGGUAACCUUCGGGAACCAGCCGUCUAAGGUGGGACAGAUGAUUAGGGUGAAGUCGUAACAAGGUAGCCGUAGGAGAACCUGCGGCUGGAUCACCUCCUUUCAA
Molecule: ribosomal RNA, 1055 nt
Filed under: uncultured bacterium
Lineage: Bacteria
Description: bacterial SSU rRNA
Rfam family: Bacterial small subunit ribosomal RNA
Source: RNAcentral